ACGGAGGGUGCAAGCGUUAUUCGGAAUUACUGGGCGUAAAGCGCGUGUAGGCGGUCCUGCAAGUCUGAUGUGAAAGCCCCGGGCUUAACUCGGGAACUGCAUUGGAAACUGUAGGUCUUGAGUACUGGAGAGGUUGGCGGAAUUCCUGGUGUAGAGGUGAAAUUCGUAGAGAUCGGGAGGAAUACCAAUGGCGAAGGCGCCCAACUGGACGGUAACUGACGCUGAGACGCGAAAGCGUGGGGAGCAAACAG
RNAcentral lists this ribosomal RNA (251 nucleotides) under uncultured prokaryote. Its description in RNAcentral is "partial 16S rRNA". It matches the Rfam family "Bacterial small subunit ribosomal RNA", at positions 525 to 775 of the family's 1533-position model. The record is from RNAcentral.